This 460-nucleotide ribosomal RNA is filed under the name uncultured bacterium. RNAcentral's name for it is "SSU rRNA". It matches the Rfam family "Bacterial small subunit ribosomal RNA", at positions 26 to 518 of the family's 1533-position model. The record is from RNAcentral.
AGAGCGAACGCUGGCGGCAGGCCUAACACAUGCAAGUCGAGCGCCCCGCAAGGGGAGCGGCAGACGGGAGAGUAACACGUGGGAACGUACCCUUCAGUUCGGAACAACCCAGGGAAACUUGGGCUAAUACCGAAUACGUCCGUAAGGAGAAAGAUUUAUCGCUGAAGGAUCGGCCCGCGUCUGAUUAGCUAGUUGGUGAGGUAACGGCUCACCAAGGCUACGAUCAGUAGCUGGUCUGAGAGGAUGACCAGCCACACUGGGACUGAGACACGGUCCAGACUCCUACGGGAGGCAGCAGUGGGGAAUCUUGCACAAUGGGCGAAAGCCUGAUGCAGCGACGCCGCGUGGGGAUGAAGCUUUUCGGAGUGUAAACCCCUUUCGACCCGGACGAAUGCCCCGCAAGGGGACUGGACGGUACGGGUAUAACGGAAGCCCCGGCUAACUACGUGCCAGCAGCCGC